GGUAUAGCUCAGUUGGUAGAGUGCUUGCCUUGCAUGCAUGAGGCCUUAGGUUCAAUCCCCAGCACCA
Molecule: transfer RNA, 67 nt
Filed under: Marmota monax (woodchuck)
Lineage: Eukaryota; Metazoa; Chordata; Mammalia; Rodentia; Sciuridae
Description: tRNA.Ala
Rfam family: tRNA
About the family: Transfer RNA (tRNA) molecules are approximately 80 nucleotides in length.
Source: RNAcentral